Long non-coding RNA from Acipenser ruthenus (sterlet), 216 nucleotides. RefSeq lists it as uncharacterized. NCBI's taxonomy places the organism in Eukaryota, Metazoa, Chordata, Actinopteri, Acipenseriformes, Acipenseridae. The transcript has 3 exons. The record is from RefSeq and is a predicted model, not a curated record.
GAAGUUUCCUUUCUGAUGAGCUGCCCUCUGACUACGAUGAUGUGGAGGACAGUGAGGGGAACCCCAUCCCAGGUGAAUCGAUGCCCUCUCUGGAAGGAGAGACCCCAGGGCACUAUGACGAUGCCGUCCCUAUGAACAGUAACCCAGAAGAUUUAUCAGGGAGUUUUGAUUCUGAUGAACUUCCCUCUGGCUACUAUGAUGUGGAGAACAGUGAGG